Molecule: ribosomal RNA, 491 nt
Filed under: uncultured bacterium
Lineage: Bacteria
Description: partial 16S ribosomal RNA
Rfam family: Bacterial small subunit ribosomal RNA
Source: RNAcentral
AGUGAACGCUGGCGGUAGGCCUAACACAUGCAAGUCGAACGGCAGCACAGUAAGAGCUUGCUCUUACGGGUGGCGAGUGGCGGACGGGUGAGGAAUACAUCGGAAUCUACUUUUUCGUGGGGGAUACGUAGGGAAACUUACGCUAAUACCGCAUACGACCUACGGGUGAAAGCAGGGGAUCUUCGGACCUUGCGCGAUUGAAUGAACCGAUGUCGGAUUAGCUAGUUGGCGGGGUAAAGGCCCACCAAGGCGACGAUCCGUAGCUGGUCUGAGAGGAUGAUCAGCCACACUGGAACUGAGACACGGUCCAGACUCCUACGGGAGGCAGCAGUGGGGAAUAUUGGACAAUGGGCGCAAGCCUGAUCCAGCCAUACCGCGUGGGUGAAGAAGGCCUUCGGGUUGUAAAGCCCUUUUGUUGGGAAAGAAAAGCAGCAGGUUAAUACCCCGCUGUUCUGACGGUACCCAAAGAAUAAGCACCGGCUAACUUCGUG